RNAcentral lists this ribosomal RNA (212 nucleotides) under uncultured Methanosaeta sp. RNAcentral describes it as "partial 16S ribosomal RNA". It matches the Rfam family "Archaeal small subunit ribosomal RNA", at positions 1128 to 1338 of the family's 1478-position model. Lineage: Archaea; Methanobacteriati; Methanobacteriota; Methanomicrobia; Methanotrichales; Methanotrichaceae. The record is from RNAcentral.
GGAAUGGGCAACGGUAGGUCAGUAUGCCCCGAACUAUCCCGGGCUACACGCGAGCUACAAUGGUUGGUACAAUGGGUAUCUACCCCGAAAGGGGACGGAAAUCUCCUAAAACCAAUCUUAGUUCGGAUUGAGGGCUGCAACUCGCCCUCAUGAAGCUGGAAUCCGUAGUAAUCGCGUUUCAACAGAACGCGGUGAAUACGUCCCUGCUCCUU